UACACAUAAGCUGGGAGAUGGCCUAGCAAC
This 30-nucleotide non-coding RNA is filed under the name Homo sapiens (human). Lineage: Eukaryota; Metazoa; Chordata; Mammalia; Primates; Hominidae. The record is from RNAcentral.